This 123-nucleotide ribosomal RNA is filed under the name Phascolarctos cinereus (koala). Lineage: Eukaryota; Metazoa; Chordata; Mammalia; Diprotodontia; Phascolarctidae. The record is from RNAcentral.
AUCUGUAGCCAUAUCAUUCUAAGUGUACUCAAUUUCAUCUGAUUGUGAAAGCUAAACAGUAACAGAUCUGAUUAGUACUAGAGUGGUAGAUUAACUAGAAAAACUGGGUACUGCCUACAGGUU